GCCGCUGGUACCUCUGCGUCCCCUCCGGACCGUCCUCUUCCACAUCGGUGUCAGCGGCGUCUCUGUCAAGGACCUCCACCUCCGCCGCGUUGUCCCUCCCGCUGCCGGCUCCCUCGACACCUCUCCCCGCCCCCAUAUCCUGCGCCAGCGCUGCUCAUCCCGCUAGCACACGCCACUGUGGAUCUAGAUCCGACACUGGCUGUGCGGGAUUAGUCGGCGUGCGUGCUUAGCAGCGUCUGCCGAUGGAUGGAGAAUGGUGGAAUCGAGAAGGCCGGUGUCACCCACAAGAUCGACAUCAGCGAUGGCCCCGUGCUCCCAGUCCCGUCCGCCUCGAAUCCAUUCGUUUGCCUGCACAGGAGAAGAACCACGCGUCGUUCGACUUCAUCUUCAUGGACGCCGACAAGGACAACUACCCCGAGCGACUGCUCAAGCUGGUGAGGCCGGGUGGCCUCAUCGGCUACGACAACAUGCUGUGGAACGGCUCCAUCGUGCUCCUGGACGACGCGCCCAUGCGCAAGUACAUCCGCUUCUACCGCGACUUCGUGCUCGCCCUCAACAUGGCGCUCGCCGCCGACGAGCGCGCCGAGAUCUGCCAGCUCCCUCGUUCAUGUGGUGCUGUGUAUCGGAAGAAAAUGCGACAUCAAACUUCGCCGCCAUCGACGCAAGCUUGGGAGAUGCGACGGGGGAAGGUGUGGCGGCGCGGGGGCUUGCGACGAGAGGCGCGCGCGCGGCGAGCUCGGCCGUGGCACUGGGCUUCAGCGGGGAGGCGGAGAAGCCCCGCGAGGAGGGCAAGCUGAUGUUGAGUUCGGCGGACGAGGGGCCCGGCGACGACGACGCAGUUGAAGAGCCGACUCCACGGACGGUGCAAUUGCGGGUACGUGGUGCAGCCCCUGUCACCGUCCCUAUUCUUGGAAGUGGAACGGCUAGCAGCCCCUAUCGCCGCCUUUGCCUAGCUCCACGGCUCCGCCCCUGUUCUUCCCAUCCUUUCGAAUGCUAGCUGAAGGUCUAUUGAAUCUGGGCAUGGUUGAUUAUCUUAUUAGUGCUAUUGAACUAAUUAUAGAAAAGGCCAAAUUCAGAGAAUCUAAUGUUUCUGCUAUAAGAGGAUAUCUCAAGAUCCGCAAGUAUUAUGAUGCAUUAGCAGCUUUUGGUUGUCUCCUAGAGAUAAACAACCCUCAGUGGAUGUAUCGUUGAUACAGCAUGCUUGAGAAUGUAUCGUGUAAAAUGACGGAGUCGAUGAAAAGUUUCGUGGUUGCUAGACUGGCUUAAACUUUUGUAGCAGUGGUGUACUAGAUGUCAAUCUCAUUGGUCUGUAUGAAUGAAGUUAGCAGAAUUUGGGAUGCUCUCUUGCUUCUGGAGAGCUGCUUACCUUCAAUGUCCACCGUGAAUCCUCUUUUGAGGCUCUUGUAUAUCUUGGGUAGCUCGCUAAUGAUCACAAUAUUCUUGCUGCACUUUCAUAUGAUGCUACAUUUAUCAUCACUUUUAAUAAUUUGGGAGUCUUUUCAGUAUUUUUGUUUUUCACAUACUAAAACUUUUAAUAAUAUCACAACUUGCUUGAUUAUUAGUUAUCCUCAUUAGCUUGCAAGAAAUUAAUAAUAAUUAUAUGCUUCAAAUUUUAAAUACAAACUUCUGGUGCUGAUUCUUUUGCUAGCUUAGGCCAGUAUGCCCUGUAGCCAGCUGUUUACUACAGUUCUUUUAGCAAUAGGCAAAAUUUCAACUGCUUUUUAACUCACAAUGUGUUAGUUGGACGUUAAUAUUUUGUGUCAUAGUGUACAAAGCUGCUUUAUGAGCCGCAAUAGCACAUCUAAUAUCUACUGUAUGCAAGAUAAAAUUUUGUAUCAUAGAUAUAUUAGUGCAGCCGAUGGGUGAGGAGCGGCUGUAGCCCUACAGGAACCCGGCAAGGACAGGCCACCGUCCCAACUCGCCUUGUCUUACCUCAUCAGUCAUCCCUGCCCUCACCUUCUCAGGCAUCUCCAGAUACUUGGAGGUAUUUGGGCUGAUAGGAUUGGUGAUCUAGGAUGCAAGUCGUUGUAAAAGAAUAAGAACUAUGGAAAGCCAUCGCAUGCGUGUAGGUGCUCUUGCAUGGAGUUCUUUGCUUUCUUCUAGAAGCCGUGAUAGGAGCAUCCUCCACCAUGAUAUCCGUGCUCAAGAAGAUUAUGUUAGCAAGCUUACCGGGCACAAAUCUGAGGACUAUGGCGCAUCACAGUGUAUGUCUGCAAUUGCUGGCUCCUAUGGCUAUAUUGCUCCAGAUUGCUAUCUUGUGGAUUUACAGGAAUGCAUAUACCCCUAAGGUCAAUGAGAAGAGCAUGUCUACACCUUUGGUGUCGUGCUUCUUGAGCUGGUCACCGGAAAGAAGCCAGUAGGUGAGUUUUGGGACGGCGUCAACAUUGUCCAUCGGGUCAAGUCGAUGACAAACACAAACAAGGAGCAGGUGAUCAAGAUCAUUGGCCCUAGGCUGUCGACCGUGCACACAAGGUCAUGCAUGUAUUCUGUGUUGCACUUCUCUGCGUCAAGGAGCAGAGCGUGCAACAGCCUAUGAUGCGGAAGAUGGUGCAGAUGCUCAACGAACUUCCCAAUCCAGCUGCAGGCAAGGAGAUGAGGUUCCCGACGGCGACGAUUUUUCCACUACACAAUCGGAUUCUUCAGCAGCAGAUGGAUCUAUUGAAGCGUCGUGUGACGAAGUCACCAAAGAGCAGCAGCAAACGAGAUCUUUGCUAUGUUUCCUUCUCCUUGCUAACCACUGAUCUCAUCAAGCUUGGUUUUUCUCAUUGCUAUGUUUCCCUCUCCUGGUGAUGUUAAGAUAUUUGGACAUUUCUAGCUUAUUAGGGCCUUGUGUGGAACAUGUUUGAACAAUUAUCUCAUUUAAACAAUGUCAA
RNA transcript from Zea mays, 2873 nucleotides. RefSeq lists it as uncharacterized. NCBI's taxonomy places the organism in Eukaryota, Viridiplantae, Streptophyta, Magnoliopsida, Poales, Poaceae. The record is from RefSeq and is marked predicted. The transcript has 5 exons.